RNAcentral lists this transfer RNA (74 nucleotides) under Bacteroidota bacterium. Its description in RNAcentral is "tRNA-His". It matches the Rfam family "tRNA". From Rfam's summary of the family: Transfer RNA (tRNA) molecules are approximately 80 nucleotides in length. Their secondary structure includes four short double-helical elements and three loops (D, anti-codon, and T loops). Further hydrogen bonds mediate the characteristic L-shaped molecular structure. tRNAs have two regions of fundamental functional importance: the anti-codon, which is responsible for specific mRNA codon recognition, and the 3' end, to which the tRNAs corresponding amino acid is attached (by aminoacyl-tRNA synthetases). tRNAs cope with the degeneracy of the genetic code in two manners: having more than one tRNA (with a specific anti-codon) for a particular amino acid; and 'wobble' base-pairing, i.e. permitting non-standard base-pairing at the 3rd anti-codon position. The record is from RNAcentral. Lineage: Bacteria; Pseudomonadati; Bacteroidota.
GUGGCUGUAGUUCAGUUGGUUAGAAUGCCAGGUUGUGGCCCUGGAGGUCGUGGGUUCAAGUCCCACCAGCCACC